AUUGAACGCUGGCGGCAGGCCUAACACAUGCAAGUCGAGCGAGCGGCGGACGGGUGAGUAAUGUAUGGGGACUGCCCGAUAGAGGGGGAUAACUACUGGAAACGGUGGCUAAUACCGCAUACUAUCGGAUAACCCAUAUGGGAUUAGCUAGUAGGUGGGGUAAAGGCUCACCUAGGCGACGAUCGCUAGCUGGUCUGAGAGGAUGAUCAGCCACACUGGAGGUGAGACAGGGCCCAGACGACUACGGAGGGAGCAGUGGGGAAUAGUGCACAAUGGGCGCAAGCCGGAUGCAGCCAUGCCGCGUGUAUGGAGAAGGCCUUAGGGGUGUAAAGUAGUUGCAGCGGGGAGGCGGUACCCGCAGAAGAAGCACCGGCUAACUCCGUGCCAGCAGCCGCGGUAAUAC
RNAcentral lists this ribosomal RNA (403 nucleotides) under uncultured bacterium. RNAcentral describes it as "partial 16S ribosomal RNA". It matches the Rfam family "Bacterial small subunit ribosomal RNA", at positions 29 to 526 of the family's 1533-position model. The record is from RNAcentral.